Molecule: non-coding RNA, 869 nt
Organism: Coffea arabica (coffee)
Lineage: Eukaryota; Viridiplantae; Streptophyta; Magnoliopsida; Gentianales; Rubiaceae
Source: RefSeq, a predicted model, not a curated record
UCCUACACACAAGCUCCAUUUUUUGGCUACAAGUCCCUCUCGGCUCUCUCUGGAAAAAGGGGGGGAAAAACAGACAAGGAAAAGAAGGGAGGCUCUCGGCUCUCUCUCUGGGCUCUCAACCGAAAAAAAAGAAAAAAUUUUCCCUCCCUCUCUCGGCUAGCUCUUAACAGACAGGGGACAAGCCACAAAAAAAAGGCUCUCGGCUCUCUCUGGGCUGGACCGAAAAGAAGAAGAAAAAAAAAAGAGAAAAAAACUACUUCCUCAAUCUACUCUCUCGGCUCUCACAGACGGAGGACAAGAAACAAAAACAGAGACAAGGAAAAAAGAAGGGAGGCUCUCGGCUCUCUCUCUUGGCUCUCUACCGAAAAAAGAAAGAAAGGCAUCAAAAAAACUUCAGCCAAGGCAAUUCCACUUUCAUUGAGGACAAUUUGACUCCAUUUAGUCACCACUUCAAACGGGAGGAAGUGAAGCAGAAAAGUGCUAAAAGGGAGACUUUCUUGAGAAAAAUACUACACACGUGGGAAGCUUCCAAAAGAUCUACAACCCUGGCUCCACAAUUUUGCUACAACGGAGCCCUUUCCUUUGCUGACUAGGAGUUUUACUAUCAAUAGGACACGAAAAAACAAGGAAUAGGGGAUAGUAGCUUUACCUUUUGUUUUCUUUUCCUGAUUAGAGAGGAACUAACGAGGAGAAGGCCAGUGAUUGUUUGAGAUUAGAUGGCUUUGUACGUACUUUUCCUUCGUUCCCUUUUUUGUUCCCCAUUACUCUCGACUGGAGCAAAAUUUCAAAUUCUCUUUGACUAUUCGAAAAAAGGAUACCUUUGAAAUCAAUUAAAUCGCGUGGAAAUUUUCUCAUGAGGCGUGGCUAAA